RNAcentral lists this ribosomal RNA (252 nucleotides) under uncultured bacterium. Its description in RNAcentral is "partial 16S ribosomal RNA". It matches the Rfam family "Bacterial small subunit ribosomal RNA", at positions 524 to 776 of the family's 1533-position model. The record is from RNAcentral.
UACAGAGGUCCCAAGCGUUGUUCGGAUUCACUGGGCGUAAAGGGUGCGUAGGUGGUUAGGUAAGUCCGAUGUGAAAUCUCCAGGCUCAACCUGGAAAUGGCAUUGGAUACUAUUUAGCUUGAGGAGUGGAGGGGGGACUGGAAUUCUCGGUGUAGCAGUGAAAUGCGUAGAUAUCGAGAGGAACACCAGUGGCGAAGGCGAGUCCCUGGACAGGUACUGACGCUGAGACGCGAAGCGUGGGUAGCAAACAGG